Molecule: microRNA precursor, 73 nt
Filed under: Anopheles christyi
Lineage: Eukaryota; Metazoa; Arthropoda; Insecta; Diptera; Culicidae
Description: microRNA mir-33
Rfam family: mir-33 microRNA precursor family
Source: RNAcentral
UUCGGGUGCAUUGUAGUUGCAUUGCACUUACCGUGUUGGUUAGAGGUGCAGUACUGCUUCAAUGCAACCCUAA